This 1242-nucleotide ribosomal RNA is filed under the name Bacillus thuringiensis. RNAcentral's name for it is "partial 16S ribosomal RNA". It matches the Rfam family "Bacterial small subunit ribosomal RNA", at positions 95 to 1319 of the family's 1533-position model. The record is from RNAcentral. Lineage: Bacteria; Bacillati; Bacillota; Bacilli; Caryophanales; Bacillaceae.
GAGUCGGAGGGUGAGUCACACCUGGGUCACCUGCCCAUAAGACUGGGAUAACUCCGGGAAACCAGGGCUUAUACCGUAGAACGAUUUGAACCGCAAGGGUGGAAAUUGCAACGCGGCAUCGGCGGUCCCUUAUGGAUGGACCCGCGUCGCGGUAUCUAGUUCGUGAGGUAACGGCUCACCAAGGCGACGAUACGUAGCCAACCUGAGAGGGUGAUCGGCCACACUGGGACUGAGACACGGCCCAGACUCCUACGGGAGGCAGCAGUAGGGAAUCUUCCGCAAUGGACGAAAGUCUGACGGAGCAACGCCCCGUGAGUGAUGAAGGCUUUCGGGUCGUAAAACUCUAUUGUUAGGGAAAAACAAGUGCUAGUUGAAUAAGCUUGCACCUUGACCGUACCUUACCCAAAAGGCGGGGCGGAAUACGUGCCAACAGCCGGGGUAAUACUUAGGUUGGUUAUCCUUUUCGGAGAAGUUGGGCGUUAACGCCCCCCAGAUGGGGGUUUAAAAAUUUUUUAAUAAAGAGCCGGGUGUCACACACGGGGGGUGGCUCUUCAAAAACGGGGACCCCGGGGGGUGCGAGAGAAAGAGGGGUUCCCCAAUGUGUAGUGGAAAACAGAAAAAAUAUGGGGGAAAAACGGGUGUGUAGAAGGAGUUUUGUUUUUUACCCGGGGAAGCCAAACCGCGUUGGGAGCAAACAGGUAUUAAAACACCGUUGUUGUCCACCCCGUAAAGGGCGAGUGCUAGUUGUUAGAGGGUUUACUACCCUCAGUGCCGAAGUUAACGCACUAAGCACUCCGCCUGGGGAGUACGGCCGCAAGAUUGAAACUCAAAGGAAAUGAGGGGGGCCCGCACAAGCGGUGGAGCAUGUGGUUUAAUUCGAAGCAACGCGAAGAACCUCACCAGGUCUUGACAUCCUUUGAAAACCCCAAAAAAAGGGGUUUUCCUUCGGGAGAAGAGUGACCGGUGGUGCAUGGUCUCGUCAGCUCGUGUCGUGAGAUGUUGGGUUAAGUCCCGCAACGAGCGCAACCCUUAAUUUUAGUUGCCAUCAUUAAGUUGGGCACUCUAAGGUGACGGCCGUUGACAAACCGGAGGAAGGUGGGGAUGACGUCAAAUCAUCAUGCCCCUUAUGACCUGGGCUACACACUUGCUACAAUGGUCGGUACAAAGAGAUGCAAGACCGCGAGGGGAAGCCAAUCUCUUAAAACCCUCCUCAGUUGGGAUUGCGGGCUGCAACUCGCCUAC